This 423-nucleotide ribosomal RNA is filed under the name uncultured Eubacterium sp. Its description in RNAcentral is "bacterial SSU rRNA". It matches the Rfam family "Bacterial small subunit ribosomal RNA", at positions 355 to 794 of the family's 1533-position model. The record is from RNAcentral. Lineage: Bacteria; Bacillati; Bacillota; Clostridia; Eubacteriales; Eubacteriaceae.
UGGGGGAUAUUGCACAAUGGGGGAAACCCUGAUGCAGCAACGCCGCGUGAAGGAAGAAGGUCUUCGGAUUGUAAACUUCUGUUUUAGUGAAGAAAAGAUGACGGUAGCUAAAGAGGAAGCCACGGCUAACUACGUGCCAGCAGCCGCGGUAAUACGUAGGUGGCAAGCGUUAUCCGGAAUUACUGGGUGUAAAGGGAGCGCAGGCGGGAUAGCAAGUCAGCUGUGAAAACUAUGGGCUCAACCCAUAAACUGCAGUUGAAACUGUUAUUCUUGAGUGGAGUAGAGGCAAGCGGAAUUCCGAGUGUAGCGGUGAAAUGCGUAGAUAUUCGGAGGAACACCAGUGGCGAAGGCGGCUUGCUGGGCUCUAACUGACGCUGAGGCUCGAAAGUGUGGGGAGCAAACAGGAUUAGAUACCCUGGUAGU